GACCUUGAGCGUGGCUGGGGUGGUGGGAUUCAAAAUGGUCAGUAAUCUGUUUGUUCACUUGGCUUUCGAAGACUUUAGAAAGACAGGGCAGGAUGGAUAUAGGUGUGUAACAGUUUGGGUCUAGAGGCAGGGCAGGAUGGAUAUAGGUCUGUAACAGUUUGGGUCUAGAGGCAGGGCAGGGCAGGAUGGAUAUAGGUCUGUAACAGUUUGGGUAUAGAGGCAGGGCAGGGCAGGAUGGAUAUAGGUCUGUAACAGUUUGGGUCUAGAGGCAGGGCAGGAUAGAUAUAGGUCUGUAACAGUUUGGGUCUAGAGGCAGGGCAGGAUGGAUAUAGGUCUGUAACAGUUUGGGUCUAGAGGCAGGGCAGGAUGGAUAUAGGUCUGUAACAGUUUGGGUCUAGAGGCAGGGCAGGAUGGAUAUAGGUCUGUAACAGUUUGGGUCUAGAGGCAGGGCAGGAUGGAUAUAGGUCUGUAACAGUUUGGGUCUAGAGGCAGGGCAGGGCAGGGCAGGAUGGAUAUAGGUCUGUAACAGUUUGGGUCUAGAGGCAGGGCAGGGCAGGGCAGGAUGGAUAUAGGUCUGUAACAGUUUGGGUCUAGAGGCAGGGCAGGGCAGGGCAGGAUGGAUAUUGGUCUGUAACAGUUUGGGUCUAGAGUGUCUCCCCCUUUGAAGAGGGGGAUGACCGCAGCC
Oncorhynchus keta (chum salmon) is the source of this 685-nucleotide long non-coding RNA. RefSeq lists it as uncharacterized. NCBI's taxonomy places the organism in Eukaryota, Metazoa, Chordata, Actinopteri, Salmoniformes, Salmonidae. The record is from RefSeq and is a predicted model, not a curated record. The transcript is spliced from 3 exons.